UACAUUAUUGCAUUGAAUAAACAGUAGUUUGUUUUCUUUGGACAGAUUUUUUUUUUUCUAUGUUGCAAUGUCAAAAAGAAUACGAACUGCCCCUACCAUUCCCAUCACAAACGAGUUCAAUACGUCUCUCGUUCCAUGCCGGAUUAGGCAGUGUCUUCCGCAGAACGAAAAGUUCGUUUUUAAAUCGGUUAUGGUAGAAUGGAGAUAAAAAUACUGUGAGAAACAUGUUUUACU
Molecule: long non-coding RNA, 234 nt
Organism: Haliotis rubra (blacklip abalone)
Lineage: Eukaryota; Metazoa; Mollusca; Gastropoda; Lepetellida; Haliotidae
Exons: 3
Source: RefSeq, a predicted model, not a curated record